RNAcentral lists this ribosomal RNA (456 nucleotides) under uncultured bacterium. Its description in RNAcentral is "bacterial SSU rRNA". It matches the Rfam family "Bacterial small subunit ribosomal RNA", at positions 329 to 802 of the family's 1533-position model. The record is from RNAcentral.
AUCGUAACUCCUACGGGAGGCAGCAGUGGGGAAUUUUGGACAAUGGGCGAAAGCCUGAUCCAGCAAUGCCGCGUGAGUGAUGAAGGCCUUAGGGUUGUAAAGCUCUUUUACCCGGGAUGAUAAUGACAGUACCGGGAGAAUAAGCUCCGGCUAACUCCGUGCCAGCAGCCGCGGUAAUACGGAGGGAGCUAGCGUUGUUCGGAAUUACUGGGCGUAAAGCGCACGUAGGCGGCUUUGUAAGUCAGAGGUGAAAGCCUGGAGCUCAACUCCAGAACUGCCUUUGAGACUGCAUCGCUCGAAUCCGGGAGAGGUGAGUGGAAUUCCGAGUGUAGAGGUGGAAUUCGUAGAUAUUCGGAAGAACACCAGUGGCGAAGGCGGCUCACUGGACCGGCAUUGACGCUGAGGUGCGAAAGCGUGGGGAGCAAACAGGAUUAGAUACCCGGGUAGUCCUAGAGC